AUGACGAACGCUGGCGGCGUGCUUAACACAUGCAAGUCGAACGGAAAGGCCCUGCUUUUGUGGGGUGCUCGAGUGGCGAACGGGUGAGUAACACGUGAGUAACCUGCCCUUGACUUUGGGAUAACUUCAGGAAACUGGGGCUAAUACCGGAUAGGAGCUCCUGCUGCAUGGUGGGGGUUGGAAAGUUUCGGCGGUUGGGGAUGGACUCGCGGCUUAUCAGCUUGUUGGUGGGGUAGUGGCUUACCAAGGCUUUGACGGGUAGCCGGCCUGAGAGGGUGACCGGCCACAUUGGGACUGAGAUACGGCCCAGACUCCUACGGGAGGCAGCAGUGGGGAAUAUUGCACAAUGGGCGGAAGCCUGAUGCAGCAACGCCGCGUGCGGGAUGACGGCCUUCGGGUUGUAAACCGCUUUCGCCUGUGACGAAGCGUGAGUGACGGUAAUGGGUAAAGAAGCACCGGCUAACUACGUGCCAGCAGCCGCGGUGAUACGUAGGGUGCGAGCGUUGUCCGGAUUUAUUGGGCGUAAAGGGCUCGUAGGUGGUUGAUCGCGUCGGAAGUGUAAUCUUGGGGCUUAACCCUGAGCGUGCUUUCGAUACGGGUUGACUUGAGGAAGGUAGGGGAGAAUGGAAUUCCUGGUGGAGCGGUGGAAUGCGCAGAUAUCAGGAGGAACACCAGUGGCGAAGGCGGUUCUCUGGGCCUUUCCUGACGCUGAGGAGCGAAAGCGUGGGGAGCGAACAGGCUUAGAUACCCUGGUAGUCCACGCUGUAAACGGUGGGUACUAGGUGUGGGGUCCAUUCCACGGGUUCCGUGCCGUAGCUAACGCUUUAAGUACCCCGCCUGGGGAGUACGGCCGCAAGGCUAAAACUCAAAGGAAUUGACGGGGCCCCGCACAAGCGGCGGAGCAUGCGGAUUAAUUCGAUGCAACGCGUAGAACCUUACCUGGGUUUGACAUGGAUCGGGAGUGCUCAGAGAUGGGUGUGCCUCUUUUGGGGUCGGUUCACAGGUGGUGCAUGGCUGUCGUCAGCUCGUGUCGUGAGAUGUUGGGUUAAGUCCCGCAACGAGCGCAACCCUUGUUCACUGUUGCCAGCACGUUAUGGUGGGGACUCAGUGGAGACCGCCGGGGUCGACUCGGAGGAAGGUGGGGAUGACGUCAAGUCAUCAUGCCCCUUAUGUCCAGGGCUUCACGCAUGCUACAAUGGCUGGUACAGAGAGUGGCGAGCCUGUGAGGGUGAGCGAAUCUCGGAAAGCCGGUCUCAGUUCGGAUUGGGGUCUGCAACUCGACCUCAUGAAGUCGGAGUCGCUAGUAAUCGCAGAUCAGCAACGCUGCGGUGAAUACGUUCCCGGGGCUUGUACACACCGCCCGUCAAGUCAUGAAAGUUGGUAACACCCGAAGCCGGUGGCCUAACCGUUGUGGGGGAGCCGUCGAAGGUG
This 1431-nucleotide ribosomal RNA is filed under the name uncultured organism. RNAcentral describes it as "partial small subunit ribosomal RNA". It matches the Rfam family "Bacterial small subunit ribosomal RNA". The record is from RNAcentral.